RNAcentral lists this ribosomal RNA (236 nucleotides) under uncultured bacterium. Its description in RNAcentral is "partial 16S ribosomal RNA". It matches the Rfam family "Bacterial small subunit ribosomal RNA", at positions 100 to 334 of the family's 1533-position model. The record is from RNAcentral.
CGGCACGGGUGAGUAACACGUAUCCAACCUGCCGUCUACUCUUGGACAGCCUUCCGAAAGGAAGAUUAAUACAAGAUGGCAUCAUGAGUCCGCAUGUUCACAUGAUUAAAGGUAUUCCGGUAGACGAUGGGGAUGCGUUCCAUUAGAUAGUAGGCGGGGUAACGGCCCACCUAGUCUUCGAUGGAUAGGGGUUCUGAGAGGAAGGUCCCCCACAUUGGAACUGAGACACGGUCCAA